AGCCCCCCGUUUGAAGAAGUGUAUGGGGGGUGACCCCUGCUCAAUGAUCUGUUUAGGUUAAAUAGCCGCAGUACCCUGACUGUGCUAAGGUAGCAUAAUCAUUUGGCUUUUAAUUGGAGUCUAGUAUGAAAGGGGCCAAUGGGGGAAAUCUGUUUCUGGUUUAAUUUUUUAAAAUUGCUUAAUAGGUGAAAAUACCUAUAGAUAUAUACAUAGGACGAGAAGACCCUAAGAGUUUUAACAAAAUUUCAGGGUGAUAUAAUUUUCAGAUUAAGAGAAUUAUAUUUCCCUUAACAUCGUAGUUUUUGCUGGGGCGGCAGACCUUCAUAAUCUUAAACAAGGUUUAACUAUAAGCAACACAUGUCUAUCUUUGAUCAGCCAGAAUAAGCUACCUUAGGGAUAACAGCAUAAUUCUUAUUAGAGAUUGUGACCUCGAUGUUGGACUAGGUACCCUGAUUACCAGAAGUAAUUAGGCUAUGUUCUGUUCGAACACCCGAUACCU
Molecule: ribosomal RNA, 499 nt
Filed under: Cerion caerulescens
Lineage: Eukaryota; Metazoa; Mollusca; Gastropoda; Stylommatophora; Cerionidae
Description: partial 16S ribosomal RNA
Rfam family: Archaeal large subunit ribosomal RNA
Source: RNAcentral